ACGGGGGGGGCAAGCGUUGUUCGGAAUUACUGGGCGUAAAGGGUCUGUAGGUGGUCUGCUAAGUCAGACGUGAAAUCCCUCAGCUUAACUGGGGAACUGCGUCUGAGACUGGCGGACUUGAGGACAGGAGAGGAACGCGGAAUUCCAGGUGUAGCGGUGAAAUGCGUAGAUAUCUGGAGGAACACCGGUGGCGAAGGCAGCCCCCUGGGUCAACACUGACGCUCAGGCACGAGAGCGUGGGGAGCAAACAGGA
RNAcentral lists this ribosomal RNA (253 nucleotides) under uncultured prokaryote. RNAcentral's name for it is "partial 16S ribosomal RNA". It matches the Rfam family "Bacterial small subunit ribosomal RNA", at positions 525 to 777 of the family's 1533-position model. The record is from RNAcentral.